Molecule: ribosomal RNA, 253 nt
Filed under: uncultured bacterium
Lineage: Bacteria
Description: partial 16S ribosomal RNA
Rfam family: Bacterial small subunit ribosomal RNA
Source: RNAcentral
UACGGAGGGUGCAAGCGUUAAUCGGAAUUACUGGGCGUAAAGGGUGCGUAGGCGGUUGUUUAAGUCUGUUGUGAAAUCCCCGGGCUCAACCUGGGAAUGGCAAUGGAUACUGGGCAGCUAGAGUGUGUCAGAGGAUGGUGGAAUUCCCGGUGUAGCGGUGAAAUGCGUAGAGAUCGGGAGGAACACCCGUGGCGAAGGCGGCACUCUGGGUCGCACCUGACGCUGAGACGCGAAAGCGUGGGGAGCGAACGGG